GAGCCGCUAGCUCAUCAGGUAGAGCAACAGCCUUUUAAGCUGUGGGUGGUGGGUUCGAGUCCCACGCGGCUCA
Molecule: transfer RNA, 73 nt
Filed under: Chlamydiota bacterium
Lineage: Bacteria; Pseudomonadati; Chlamydiota
Description: Chlamydiae bacterium (groundwater metagenome) tRNA-Lys
Rfam family: tRNA
About the family: Transfer RNA (tRNA) molecules are approximately 80 nucleotides in length.
Source: RNAcentral